Non-coding RNA from Phasianus colchicus (ring-necked pheasant), 1501 nucleotides. The record is from RefSeq and is a predicted model, not a curated record. Lineage: Eukaryota; Metazoa; Chordata; Aves; Galliformes; Phasianidae.
GCGGGGAAUAAAAACAGUGUAAAUGUAAAUGCUUCAGUUAACAUUAGAGCUGGACUGGUGAAAAGUCACUCAUUCCAAGUUUUCAUUAAAAUAGUAAAAUUGGAGGUCAGGGUGAAAUUGAAGGAAAAGCGUUCUAGCAAACAGAAGUGUGUUCUGUUUUUAAAUGAAAUGGAACAAACUAACAACCGAAACAUCAUUCAACUUUUUCUGUGCUGUUUUUAAUUAUACAAACUGAAAAUUAAGACCAUCCUUACACUAGUUGCAUCAACAGAAGUCAGUCAAAACUCAAACCACUCUUCCCUAUGAAAAGUUGGGUUUUUUUGUUUUUUUUUUCCCCCUCUGAACACACAAUUUUCACAGCACUGAAAGUAUCAGCACUGCUACGGCUUGUAGGGGAGCUGUUAGAUCAGGGCUCGAAGUGGUGAUGGGGCACCUGGAGAGGGGCUGUGUCUGCCCAGGGAGAACAGAUUGUUUGCACCUGUGAUCUCCAGCUGACCAGAAGGGGUGGGCUGGGAGAGGAGCCACCCAUGGCUGGUAUAAAGGCCAGCCACUGAAGGGAGAGCAUCUCUCGGACCUGAGCUGCUUCGUGGGGAAGUGCUGUGUUGCCAGAGAGCCCCUUCACCAGCUGGAUGGAAACAAGCCACGCAGUAUGACUGACAAACUGAAGCCGAAGCGAGAACACACUGCCACAUCCCUGUUGUAACAGCGUGGAAAACAAGAUGCUGUUUGUGCUACUUAGAAUUAGGUUACGACCUGUGCUACCGCCACAACAUUCCCUACAGUCCCCUCUGGCAGAGAAACCUCCCCUGAUGGAACGGCCCAGUGGUGCAGGAGCAGUGGGGAGCCUCAGGACCAUGAGGCCCCCAAGUCCAGGUGCAUUUGUAAUCUGAGAGCCAGGAUCAUAACAGAUCUCUGCAAAAUCCCCGCUUAUUGAAUCAAGUGGUCUAGUGCAUGCUUCAGUAACCUCUGUAUUUAUCUGUUAUUCUUUUAUGCUGUACUGCUGCAUGUUUACUCGUUAUGUUUUACAAGUGAGGUCAGGCUGUAAUGUCCUGAAGGAUUUUCUUCAGCCUUUUGUUCUUGUAAAAUAACCAGUGUACAAAGUCACGUUAGUUUUCCAGAGCAGAAGUGGAAGCUAUGGAUGCAGAGCCAGCUGCUGCUGCCACCGACGACCAGAUGCACAUGUCGUACCCAACUACAUUUUGGCUCCCACUCCUCUCGCAGACCAAAUUACCACAGGCACAGGACUUCUUGGACACUGCUGUGGAAUGGGAGAGCACAGCUCAACAGGAAAGGUGGUGUUACACAUCAUGGCUUUGGUAUUUGGUGCUCUGGGCAAAGACUUGCAAGACCAGGAAAAGAAAAUCACCUGUAAGUAAUAUCUGCACUUAGUCACCUGGUACAGGCAGAUAGCACUGCUUCCACUUCUGUGUUUGCAGGCAAUUGAGCAAGGCAAUGAAUACAGUUAGACUUAGUCACAGAUUUUCAGUUGCAGCUGAAACUU